GAUGAACGCUGGCGGCGUGCCUAAUACAUGCAAGUCGAGCGAACGGACGAGAAGCUUGCUUUUCUGAUGUUAGCGGCGGACGGGUGAGUAACACGUGGAUAACCUACCUAUAAGACUGGGAUAACUUCGGGAAACAGGAGCUAAUAACGGAUAAUAUUUUGAACCGCAUGGUUCAAAAGUGAAAGACGGUCUUGCCGUCAGUUAUAGAUGGAUCCGCGCUGCAUUAGCUAGUUGGUAAGGUAACGGCUUACCAAGGCAACGAUGCAUAGCCGACCUGAGAGGGUGAUCGGCCACACUGGAACUGAGACACGGUCCAGACUCCUACGGGAGGCAGCAGUAGGGAAUCUUCCGCAAUGGGCGAAAGCCUGACGGAGCAACGCCGCGUGAGUGAUGAAGGUCUUCGGAUCGUAAAACUCUGUUAUUAGGGAAGAACAUAUGUGUAAGUAACUGUGCACAUCUUGACGGUACCUAAUCAGAAAGCCACGGCUAACUACGUG
Molecule: ribosomal RNA, 497 nt
Filed under: uncultured bacterium
Lineage: Bacteria
Description: partial 16S ribosomal RNA
Rfam family: Bacterial small subunit ribosomal RNA
Source: RNAcentral